RNAcentral lists this transfer RNA (72 nucleotides) under Camelus bactrianus (Bactrian camel). It matches the Rfam family "tRNA". From Rfam's summary of the family: Transfer RNA (tRNA) molecules are approximately 80 nucleotides in length. Their secondary structure includes four short double-helical elements and three loops (D, anti-codon, and T loops). Further hydrogen bonds mediate the characteristic L-shaped molecular structure. tRNAs have two regions of fundamental functional importance: the anti-codon, which is responsible for specific mRNA codon recognition, and the 3' end, to which the tRNAs corresponding amino acid is attached (by aminoacyl-tRNA synthetases). tRNAs cope with the degeneracy of the genetic code in two manners: having more than one tRNA (with a specific anti-codon) for a particular amino acid; and 'wobble' base-pairing, i.e. permitting non-standard base-pairing at the 3rd anti-codon position. The record is from Rfam by way of RNAcentral. RNAcentral also lists the same sequence under 1 other name. Lineage: Eukaryota; Metazoa; Chordata; Mammalia; Artiodactyla; Camelidae.
GAGUGUAUAGUUCAGUGGUAGAGCGCAAGCUUAGCAUGCCCAAGGUCCUGGGUUCAAUACCCAGUACCUCCA